RNAcentral lists this unclassified non-coding RNA (462 nucleotides) under Hevea brasiliensis (rubber tree). Lineage: Eukaryota; Viridiplantae; Streptophyta; Magnoliopsida; Malpighiales; Euphorbiaceae. The record is from RNAcentral.
GGUGGUUAUACUUUUAACUUGGAUUUGGAGUAUAAGACUUACUCAUAACUACUUCCGUCGCGAGAAUUGGCAAUGGGGACACAGGCAAGAUUGGAGAUUUACAGAUAUGAGCCACCAGUAUGGCAAGAACUGGUGGUGGAUAUCUUUCUUUUUUGUUUAUUUCUCUCAGCAGAUUUUUCUGAUUGGUAUAUGCCUGCCUAUGUAUGUUGUCCACUCUGAAGACAAGCCAUGGAAUAUCUGGGAUUUCAUUGCUGUAUUCAUCUGCUUGUCUGCCAUUAUAAUUGCUUAUUAUGCAGAUACAGAGCUCUACAAUUUUGUGAGCAGAAACCAGAAACUAAAAGAGCUCGGCAAGCCAAUGGUUCCCAAUCUUGAUGAAGGCCUCUGGAGGUAUUCACGACAUCCAAACUAUUUUGGAGAGCAGUUAUGGUGGUGGGGACUCGUCCUAUUUGCCUGGAACUUGGG